GAUGAAGAACGUAGCGAAAUGCGAUAAGUAAUGUGAAUUGCAGAAUUCAGUGAAUCAUCGAAUCUCUGAACGCUCAUUGCGCCCGCCAGUAUUCUGGCGGGCAUGCCUGUUCGAGCGUCAUUUCAACCAUCAAGCCCCAGGCUUGUGUUGGAGCCCUGCGGCUGCCGCAGCCUCCCAAAACCAGUGGCGGGCUCGCUAUCACACCGAGUGCAGUAGUUUACUCUUCGCUCAGGGCGUGUGGCGGGUGCUAGCCGUAAAACCCCCAACUUCUCAAGGUUGACCUCGGAUCAGGUAGGAAUACCCGCUGAACUUAAGCAUAUCAAUAAGCGGAGGA
RNAcentral lists this unclassified non-coding RNA (334 nucleotides) under soil metagenome. Its description in RNAcentral is "partial contains 5.8S ribosomal RNA, internal transcribed spacer 2, and large subunit ribosomal RNA". The stretch from base 1 to 120 matches the Rfam family "5.8S ribosomal RNA", at positions 35 to 154 of the family's 154-position model. The record is from RNAcentral.